Molecule: ribosomal RNA, 484 nt
Filed under: uncultured bacterium
Lineage: Bacteria
Description: partial 16S ribosomal RNA
Rfam family: Bacterial small subunit ribosomal RNA
Source: RNAcentral
AUUGAACGCUGGCGGCAGGCCUAACACAUGCAAGUCGAGCGGAUGAAGGGAGCUUGCUCCUGGAUUCAGCGGCGGACGGGUGAGUAAUGCCUAGGAAUCUGCCUGGUAGUGGGGGAUAACGUCCGGAAACGGGCGCUAAUACCGCAUACGUCCUGAGGGUGAAAGUGGGGGAUCUUCGGACCUCACGCUAUCAGAUGAGCCUAGGUCGGAUUAGCUAGUUGGUGGGGUAAAGGCCUACCAAGGCGACGAUCCGUAACUGGUCUGAGAGGAUGAUCAGUCACACUGGAACGGAGCCACGGUCCAUGCUACUACGGGAGGCAGCAGUGGGGAAUAUUGGACAAUGGGCGAAAGCCUGAUACAGCCAUGCCGAGUGUGUGAAGAAGGUCUUCGGAUUGUAAAGAACUUUAAGUUGGGAGGAAGGGCAGUAAGUUAAUACCUUGCUGUUUUGACGUUACCAACAGAAUAAGCACCGGCUAACUUCGUG